AAGAGGAGAGGAGAGGAGAGGAAAGGAGAGGCGGCGGUGGCAGACUAGGCAUCAGUUGACUGUGACUUUUCCGACCAUUCCUGCUCCCUGGUGCGGCGAGCAGUAGAAGGUGUAGGUGCCCUUCUCGUUCAAGGUCACCGAGUAGGUCUCCCCGGGGGCGUUGAGUAGGUCCUCCUCGCUCAUGGAGAUGGCCGCGGCGUCGACGCCCUUGGGGAUCUCGUCCUCGUCGAAGAUGACGUUGUGGGGGAAGGCCUGGUUGUUCUUGAACACGAUCGCCUCCCCGGCGGCCACGCUGAACUCGCCUGGCACGAAGGCCAGCGACCCGUCGUUGCCCCCCAGCAGCACCUCGAGGGCCAGCGCGUUGCCCGUCGCGAGCAGCGCGCUGGCGGCCGCGGCCGCGGCCACGGCCGCCACUUUCACCUCCUUGAGGGAGGCCCUCGCGGACACGCCGGCCACCUUCGCCCUGGGGCUCGCCACGGCAACGAUGGCGCCGGACCUUGCGGCGGUUGCCUUGAGACCGGUGAAGGAGGGGAUGGUGACUGCUGUGGUGGUCAUGCUGGCCAUUGCUCACGCUGUUACCGU
RNAcentral lists this long non-coding RNA (582 nucleotides) under Musa acuminata (dwarf banana). Its description in RNAcentral is "long non-coding RNA (MACU_LNC000261)". Lineage: Eukaryota; Viridiplantae; Streptophyta; Magnoliopsida; Zingiberales; Musaceae. The record is from RNAcentral.